CCCAAUUAAAUUGAACACUCUGUCCACUCCUAAGAAUUUGUAAGACUCUUAUUUGCAUAAAAUGGACAGAGACCAGUCUCAAAAUCAAUCUGUAGCGUUUAUUCUCGAGAGUACUGAACACGAUACAGUUUACCACAGGUUAUAAACUGAAAAUGACGUCAUUAGUUUUCGAACUGUCCCGUCUCUUCUCCCACCCUGGUACAAAGGCAGUAUCUCAAGCCUUCCCACAUCGUCCCACACCAAUUUAAUAUAAUUUAUGACAGAGCCAAGGUCUUCCUGUGUAGAUAAGCAUUCUAGCCAGUCUGACGAUAAGUUCAUUCAUUUCUACCUAGGAACAGACAGUCAUUGUUCUAAUUCUUAAUGAUAUAUACACACAUUAUAUUCAGUACUAGGAUUAAAAGAAAAUUCAUACAUCUAUACAGUAACAUAAUAGUAUUCUGAUUAUUCAGUCCUGAUUGAAAUGUAUACAUAAUUAGUCAUUAUUGAUAAAAAAUCCCUUAACAUAUCCACACUAUGAUUAAAUAUUAUACAUCCAAGCACACAUCUAGUUAUAUUAAAAUAUUAAAAAGCAUACAUCUAUUUUUAUCAGAAAUAUUUAUUGUUAUCAAAAUACCACCUAACAUAAACCAAUUCUUGCAUUCACAUUGACUGUUUUAGGCCAACAUCAGAAUCAUAACCCUUCUCAUCAGAAUUUUCGUUACAAUCUUCAUCGAAACAAGAUACAACCUAACAUCUCUAAAUAUCAAAAUGCUCUUAUCAAAAACAUAAGUUCCUCGCAUAUGAAAAAUUUGGAUUCAUUAAUCUAUUUAGGUUUGAGGCAUGUAUUCAUCCUUCCACUGGUCAAAUCUUGGAAUCAGUCCGUAUCGCACCAUCUAUUUUCUCAUUGAUUUCUCCAGAGUCCUGGAAAUGAGACCUCAUACACAGGGAAUUAGACAAUAGCCACAAAACUAAAACAGUCACACAGGUGAAGGUAGCCCUUAACACAGUGAUCAUAACAUUUUUCCAUUUUCCAAACAUACUAUCAAACCAAUUAGUCAAAGAAGUAUCCACCCCAGAGUUUUCUGCCAACUCGUGAGCCAGGGUGGUCAAACCAGCUGAGGCUUUGGUCACUGAUUCAUCUGGAGCUGUGCCAUCGAGGAACAAACCAUCUCCACCCACUCUCACCCUUUCCAGCCAACAAAUAUAUCCAAGAUUAAUUCUAUUCCGCCAAGUCAUUCAUUACAUCUCUGGUAUAAUUGACGAAGCGCUGUGGAUUAUCCUAAAUAUAAUUGAUCCAGUUCACAUUCUUAUUUGAGUGUGGACCACUAGAAAAUACUUAACUCUAAUCCUGCUACGAUCUGAUUUCUUGCUUUGAACUCAUCUGGUAAUCCCCGUAGAACCCCAAUGUUAUCAAUAUAUACUCUCUCGUCAAAAGACCCAGAUGGAGUACUUAUUUUCUCCCGUUUGGCCAACUUCAUGUCUUGGUGUUGAACGAGUGUGAAAAGCAUUCCCAAAUGUACAAGGUCGCAUAAUCCUGUCCAAUCUGCCGGUAAAAACUGGCCAUAACAGCAUUCCCCCACACAACCACCAGAUGUCAGCCCUGGCCCACUUUACCUUAUUGAAAUCCCCAGAGUUCAACCAGCCUGUCAAAUCAGACAUGGUCUCGACAGUGUUAAUAUUCUCUGUCCUAUUGCAGGUACUAACUUCCCCUACAUAUUUCCCAUGAGUACUGUACCGGGCCAAACAGUAAUAAUCUCCUCCGGUCACUGUAAAGGGAGGAAGUCUUGAUUUAAAGGGAAUCUGUGGAUAUAAAUAGUGCAAAUCAAUACAACUGUCAUUAUCUGGCAUUCUUGCUUUCGUGAACAGCUUUACCAUACAGGCCAUUCCCCUGGGUGAAUCAAUUCCAUCAAAUGGAGAGGGGAUGGUUGUCAGCUGAGGUUUGGCUGUGGCGCAGGCAUAACAUUUUUCUUUAGCUACUGGUCUGGCUGUAUAGUGGAUCCAUUCUAACCAAAGAUUAGAAUCCCCAUAACCAGUUUCUACCUCGAUCACUUCCUUCAGAUCUUUCGUCUUCACUAUCUUCACCGGCCCUUGGCUCUGGACUAAUCUGCUGUCAGUGUCUGUUGUGUCAGGUGCUCUGUAUUCCUGCUGACGAUAGAGUUACCACCUGGCCUAACCUCCUAUACCCGGACCCGUACUAGGGUGUCGACCAAAAACUGGUCAAAUCCAACAUACCAUAACCCUAGAUCCUCUUUCAUUACUGUUUAAAGGGUAAGCCGUAUCUUUAUGCAAUACAUCCCUCUCUCCGGAUUACAGUCAAAAACUCUCACCUUCACUAUACUCCACCUCCUUCCAUACUGGGUGAGUGGAUUCAUAUAGCCCUCUGAGCUAUGACCUGUGUCCACGACCAACAUGGGGACCUGCACCAAUAUAUACCAUAAUGGCUCAGAGUCCUAGACUGCCAUGUAGUUAGAGACCCCUUUUGGUCUACAUAAAACUCCAUUGAGACAUCCUUACCAACCUCUACUCUAACUUCCUAUCUACCCAGAUCUAGGGAUCUCCUAUGCUUGUUUGGAACAAAAUCCUCAUCGUCUAAACCAUGGGUCAAAUUACCACUCUCCGCAUACUCAGGUGGGACGUGCUGUAUCAGGAAUAUGGCACCUACGAUAAGACAGCUCAGACCAAACAGCACUCCGAUGAAGCCCCACCCUUUUCCCGGAAAACAUAUCAUCAGCAAGAGGCGACACACUUUCACUUCUAUGAACGCUCACAGCUGGGGAAAAGUUAGGUAUAAGGGAAUCUUCAGUAAGUUUUGUAAAUAAACAAGAUUUUUUUCUUAAAAAGAAAGACAAAAGACUGUAGAUUCUCUCACUGAGUUUGAUCUUCCCACAUGUGUCACCAGUCACCGUACCCUAAAGGUUGCGGUUCCCUUCCUACCUCUGUGAUUGUUCGACAGUGUCAGGGUGUCCUACCCUCCUACAAUGUGUGAUAUGCACCCCGGGAGCUCUUUCGGCUAUCCUCACCGUGAAGGCAGUCACCAGGAGUACUUGGUAUGGCCCCUCCCCACCGUGCUGCUUCCCGUCUAUCCUCACCGCGAAGGCAGUCACCAGGAGUACUUGGUAUGGCCCCGCCCACCGUGCUGCUUCCCGUCUAUCCUCACCGCGAAGUCAGUCACCAGGAGUACUUGGUAUGGCCCCGCCCACCGUGCUGCUUCCCGUCUAUGCUCCUCACGUAGGCAGUCACCAGGAGUACUUGGUAUGGCCCCGCCCACCGUGCUGCUUCCCUUCUACCCUCCUCGCGUAGGCAGUCACCAGGAGUACUUGGUAUGGCCCCGCCCACCGUGCUGCUUCCCGUCUAAUCUCCUGCGUAGACAGUCACCAGGAGUACUUGGUAUGGCCCCUCCCCACCGUGCUGCUUCCCGCCUAUCCUCCUCACGUAGGCAGUCACCAGGAGUACUUGGUAUGGCCCCGCCCACCGUGCUGCUUCCCGUCUAUCCUCACCGCGUAGACAGUCACCAGGAGUACUUGGUAUGGCCCCGCCCACCGUGCUGCUUCCCAUCUAUCCUCACCGCGUAGACAGUCACCAGGAGUACUUGGUAUGGCCCCGCCCACCGUGCUGCUUCCCGUCUAUCCUCACCGCGUAGACAGUCACCAGGAGUACUUCGUAUGGCCCCGCCCACCGUGCUGCUUCCCGUCUAUCCUCCUCGCGUAGGCAGUCACCGGGAGUACUUGGUAUGGCCCCACCCACCGUGCUGCUUCCCGUCUAUCCUCCUCGCGAAGGCAGUCACCAGGAGUACUUGGUAUGGCCCCACCCACCGUGCUGCUUCCCUUCUAUUCUCCUCGCGAAGGCAGUCACCAGGAGUACUUGGUAUGGCCCCUCCCCACCGUGCUGCUUCCCUUCUAUUCUCCUCGCGAAGGCAGUCACCAGGAGUACUUGGUAUGGCCCCUCCCCACCGUGCUGCUUCCCGUCUAUCCUCCUCGCGUAGGCAGUCACCAGGAGUACUUGGUAUGGCCCCUCCCCACCGUGCUGCUUCCCGUCUAUCCUCCUCACGUAGGCAGUCACCAGGAGUACUUGGUAUGGCCCCGCCCACUGUGCUGCUUCCCUUCUAUUCUCCUCGGGGACUGGGUUGAGUGAAUCACCUUAUCCUGUAGUUCACCUGUAGUGCAUAAAUCUCGGACAUACAGGUUUGGUUAACAAACAGUUUCUCAUUUGUUCUAUCUGAUUAUAUCUUUAACUUCUAUGCCUACUUAUUAGCUACAUUUUUUUAUUAUUAUCCAAUAGGCCACUAAGUGUCCUAUCCUAGACCACAACUUACCCAUCCCCCUUUUGAUAUCUGGCUCUGCCCAGGUAACAACCUUAUCUACUCUAAAUAAUGACUUAGGUAAGAUUAGUAAAUUAUCCUUAUGUUCUGACAUUAUCAUGUAUGUCCAAUUCUCCCUUUGGCGCCCAUUCAUAUUUAUCCUGUACCAAUUCUCUGUCAAGUGGCUUAUCUACUUUUAAAAGGUAUCUGUGUUCAUUUCCUCUCUGCUCUGUAACAACUAUAUGUUGCUUCCAAAUUUUAACUAAAUGUCUCACUGUUUGGCUUUAUCUAAACUCAUUGAUUUAAAAAGAAAAAGAAAAACAUGUCUAUGGUGUCAAUUUCUAAAGUCCUUAUACAGGUUAAUUAAGGUUCUUGAUCCUAUCCCUAAUCCUGAAUCACCACAGAUGUCAUAUAUCCCUGUCAAACUUUAAUACUAUUUAAAUAAAAAUAAAUAUUUUUAAAUAAAAAUAUUCUAAUAUUCUAAUAUUAAUUAAAGCCAAAACGAAUGCUAACCAUAUCCUAUCUCUUUCCUGUGUUAAUGAAAUCUCCCCUUCGGGAAUCCACUGUAUUUUAUCUAAAAAUAACGAGUUAAACUUAAAAAUCAGUCACAUCAAUAAUUUAAUAUAUGUUGCCUAGUUUGAGAUACCUUAUCUACCGUAAUUUACCAUCCCUAAGAACUGCAACUUAUUUUCAUAAAUAAUUUUAAUACUUAUAAAAUCGCCUUUUCUAUCAUGUGUUUUCCUGCCCUAUUGGCUUAAUAACGGUGUUCUGUCCAAACCUCAAAAGGACCAUCUUCCGCCAUUUAUUAUCGAUGAUUAAUAUGAUUUCUGUUCCUGUUGCAGUACUAAAAACUCCAUUAUAAUACAUUUACUUUAAAAACCAGUAUCACCCAUGACUACAAAUUCAUUAUUCAAAUGGCUCCCCCCUGUGGCUGAUCAGACCAACUGGGAGAGCCAUGGAAACUUGGUCAAAGGUUACACCACCCCUUUACAUUCGUGUUCCAUACCAUAUUAGACAUAUUAAAGAACCCUUUAUCUUUAAAAAAAAAUGUAUUCACUUGUCUAAUUAAAACUCAGAAAAUAAAACUCCUAAUAUUCCAUAUGUGAGUGUACCCCUUUAAGAUAUCUUGUCUCUGGGAACAGGGAAAUCUCCUUAACGUAAACAUUUACUACAAAAACAAAACCUUAUUGUCACGCCCUGGUCUAAGUAUUUUGUGUUUUUCUUCAUGUAUUGGGUCAGGCCAGGGUGUGGCAUGGGGUUUUUGUAUUGUGGUGUGUUUUGUCUUGGGGUUUUGGUGUGUGUGUAUUGGGAUUGUAGCUAGUGGAGUUAUCUAGCAAGGUCUAUGGCUGUCUGGAGUGGUUCUCAAUCAGAGGCAGGUGUUUAUCGUUGUCUCUGAUUGGGAACCAUAUUUAGGCAGCCAUAUUCUUUGAGUUUGUCGUGGGUGAUUGUCCUUAGUGUCCUUGUUCCAGUCUAUGUGUUAGGUUACACAAGUAUAGGCUGUUUCGGUUUUCGUUUCGUUAUUUACAUUCUUUGUUUUGUAGUGUUUGUGUUACUUCGUGUUUAUGUUAUUCAUUAAACAUGGAUCGCAAUCUACACGCUGCAUUUUGGUCCGACUCUCCUUCACACCUAGAAAACCAUUACAGAAUCACCCACCACCAACGGACCAAGCAGCGUGUCAACAGGCAGGAGCAGCAGGAGAGGCAACAGGUGCAGCAGGAGAGGAGGCAACAGGAGCAGCCCAAAGAGGAGUACAGUAUGGACUAUACUUCUUGGGAGGAGAUAGACAGGUGGGCGGUCGACCCAGGGAGAGUGCCGGAGCCCGCCUGGGAUUCGAUGGAGCAGUGCGCGGAAGGUUAUCGGAGAAUGAGGUUGGCGAAGCAAGCACGGCGGCGCGGACGGAAGCCCGAGAGUCAGACCCAAAAAUUUCUUGGGGGCUCACAGGGAGUAUGGCUAUGCCAGGUAGGAGACCUGUGCAAACUUCCUGCGGUUACCGGGGGGCUAGAGAGACCGGGCAGGCACCGUGUUAUGCAGUGGUGCGCAUGGUGUCCCCAGUGCGGGUGCAUAGCCCGGUGCGAUAUAUUCCAGCUCCUGGUAUCGGCCGGGCUAGAGUGGGCAUCGAGCCAGGUAAGGUUGGGCAGGCUCGGUGCUCAAGAGCUCCAGUGCGCCUGCACGGUCCGGUCUAUCCAGUACCACCUCCACACCCCAGCCCUCCGGUAGCAGCUCCCCGCACCAGGCUUCCUGUGCGUGUCCUCGGUUCAGUACCACCAGUACCAGCACCAUGCAUCAGGCCUACAGUGCGCCUCGCCUCUCCAGCGCUGCCGGAGCCUUUCUCCUCUCCUGCGCUGUCGGAGUCUCCUGUCUGUUCAGCGCUGCCAGAGCCUUCCUCCUCUACAGCGCUGCUGGAUUCUCCUGCCUGUUCAGCGCAGCCAGAGCUGCCAGCCUGCAUGGAGCUGCCAGGCUGCAUGGAGCAGCCAGAGCUGCCAGGCUGC
This is a long non-coding RNA of Oncorhynchus tshawytscha (Chinook salmon), 6765 nucleotides long. The record is from Ensembl. NCBI's taxonomy places the organism in Eukaryota, Metazoa, Chordata, Actinopteri, Salmoniformes, Salmonidae.